GACGAACGCUGGCGGCGUGCUUAACACAUGCAAGUCGAGCGGAAAGGCCACUUCGGUGGUACUCGAGCGGCGAACGGGUGAGUAACACGUGAGUAAUCUGCCCCUGGCUUUGGGAUAGCCACCGGAAACGGUGAUUAAUACCGGAUACGACCACUUCUCGCAUGGGAUGGUGGUGGAAAGUUUUUUCGGCCAGGGAUGUGCUCGCGGCCUAUCAGCUUGAUGGUGAGGUAAUGGCUCACCAUGGCUUCGACGGGUAGCCGGCCUGAGAGGGUGACCGGUCACACGGGGACUGAGACACGGCCCAGACUCCUACGGGAGGCAGCGGUGGGGAAUAUUGGACAAUGGGCGGAAGCCUGAUCCAGCAACGCCGCGUGAGGGAUGACGGCCUUCGGGUUGUAAACCUCUUUCAGCAGGGACGAAGCGCAAGUGACGGUACCUGCAGAAGAAGCACCGGCCAACUACGUGCCAGCAGCCGCCGUAA
RNAcentral lists this ribosomal RNA (481 nucleotides) under uncultured bacterium. RNAcentral describes it as "partial 16S ribosomal RNA". It matches the Rfam family "Bacterial small subunit ribosomal RNA", at positions 28 to 523 of the family's 1533-position model. The record is from RNAcentral.